UUAUUGUCGAGCCUGCGACUUUUGUCGCAGAAAGCUCGACAUAGGGAUAGCGAUCCGGCGGCGGCGUUAGCUAACUUCUUAAAAGCUUUAUAUUUUAGAAGAUGAAAGACCUGGAUGCUUCAUACUUUGUAUAUGGAUGCCUCAUGUUACGAAGUUUCCGUCAGUCACAUGUCCAAUGUCCUUGACCUCAUUUUCAUGGUUCAGUGACUACUUGAAAAAAAAGUUCAGAUUUUUUGUAAUGUUAAAUUCUCUCUUAUUAUAAGUAAUAGGAUAACUAUAUUUGGUAUGUGCGUACCUUGCAAGGUCCUCAUGCCCGUCAGACAGUUUUCACUUGACCUCGACCUCAUUUCAUGGAUCAGUGAACAAGGUUAAGUUUUCGUGGUCAAGUCCAUAUCUCAGAUACUAUAAGCAAUAGGUCUAGUAUAUUUGGUGUAUGGAAGGACUGUAAGGUGUACAUGUCCAACUGGCAGGUGUCAUCUGACCUUGACCUCAUUUUCAUGGUUCAGUGGUCAAAGUUAAGUUUUUGAGUUUGGUCUUUUUUUCUAAUACUAUAUGCAAUAGUUCAACUAUAUUUGGUGUAUGGAAAUAUUUUAUGAUCUAUAUGUCAGUCACGCAGGUUUUAUUUGACCUUGACCUCAUUUUCAAGGUUCAUUGCUCAGUGUUAAGUUUUUGUGUUUUCGUCUGUUUUUCUUAAACUAUAAGCAAUAGGUCAACUAUAUUUGUUGUAUGGAAGAAUUGUUAGCUGUACAUGCCUGCCUAGCAUGGUUCAUCUGACCUUGACCUCAUUUUCAUGGUUCAUUGGUCAAUGUUUAGUUUACUUGGUUAAUGUUAAGUUUAUGUGACAGUUGUAAUAAAGCUUUAUAUUUAGGACUAUCAACAAAAAAUCAAUGAUUAGUAAAGAAGGCGAGACAUUUCAGCGUGUGCACUCUUGUAUUUCAA
Long non-coding RNA from Mytilus californianus (California mussel), 939 nucleotides. RefSeq lists it as uncharacterized. The record is from RefSeq and is a predicted model, not a curated record. NCBI's taxonomy places the organism in Eukaryota, Metazoa, Mollusca, Bivalvia, Mytilida, Mytilidae. The transcript has 2 exons.